This 566-nucleotide ribosomal RNA is filed under the name uncultured fungus. RNAcentral's name for it is "eukaryotic LSU rRNA". The stretch from base 172 to 322 matches the Rfam family "5.8S ribosomal RNA". Lineage: Eukaryota; Fungi. The record is from RNAcentral.
AGAGUUCUCGCCCUCGCGGGUAGAUCUCCCACCCACUGUUAUCGUUACUAUGCUCGCUGUAGAUGUCCGCUGGGUCCUACCUAGCCCCCGGCCAUGCUCGCUGUAGAUGUGCAUGCUCGCUGUAGAUGUCUGAAUGUUAGUGUCGUCUGAGUACUAUAUAAUAGUUAUGCUCGCUGUAGAUGUCGCUCGUGGUUCUGGCAUCGAUGAAGAACGAUGCUCGUCGAGCUCGCUGUAGAUGCUCGCAGAAUUCAGUGAGUCAUCGAAUCUUUGAACGCACAUUGCGCCCUGUGGUAAUGUCCGUCGUAGUACUGUUCGAGCGUCAUUUCAACCCUCAAGCACUGCUUGGUGUUGGGCCCUGCCCGAUGCCUCGUGAUAGUGCCCAAGUGGCGGUGCCGUCUGGCUCUAAGCGUAGUACAUCUCUCGCUCUCGAGUCCGGCGGUAGCUCGCCAGAACCCCCUACUCUUUAUGGUUGACCUCGGAUCAGGUAGGGAUACCCGCAUGCUCGCUGUAGAUGUCAUGCUCGCUGUAGAUCGCUGAUAGUGCUCGCUUCGAUAGUCGAUAUGCUC